Molecule: ribosomal RNA, 253 nt
Filed under: uncultured bacterium
Lineage: Bacteria
Description: partial 16S ribosomal RNA
Rfam family: Bacterial small subunit ribosomal RNA
Source: RNAcentral
UACGGAGGGUGCAAGCGUUAUCCGGAUUUACUGGGUUUAAAGGGUGCGUAGGUGGGCAGGUAAGUCAGUGGUGAAAUCUCCGAGCUUAACUCGGAAACUGCCAUUGAUACUAUCUGUCUUGAAUAUCCUGGAGGUAAGCGGAAUAUGUCAUGUAGCGGUGAAAUGCUUAGAUAUGACAUAGGACACCAAUUGCGAAGGCAGCUUACUACGGGAUUAUUGACACUGAGGCACGAAAGCGUGGGGAUCAAACAGG